RNAcentral lists this ribosomal RNA (467 nucleotides) under uncultured bacterium. RNAcentral's name for it is "partial 16S ribosomal RNA". It matches the Rfam family "Bacterial small subunit ribosomal RNA", at positions 28 to 506 of the family's 1533-position model. The record is from RNAcentral.
GACGAACGCUGGCGGCGUGCUUAACACAUGCAAGUCGAACGGUGAAGCUCCAGCUUGCUGGAGUGGAUCAGUGGCGAACGGGUGAGUAACACGUGAGCAACCUGCCCCAGACUCUGGAAUAAGCGCUGGAAACGGCGUCUAAUACUGGAUACGAGAUCAAGCCGCAUGGUAAGGGUCUGGAAAGUUUUUCGGUCUGGGAUGGGCUCGCGGUCUAUCAGCUUGUUGGUGAGGGAAUGGCUCACCAAGGCGACGACGGGUAGCCGGCCUGGGAGAGCGACCGGGCACACUGGGCCUGAGACACGGCCCAGACUGCUACGGGAGGCAACAGUGGGGACUAUUGCACAAUGGGCGAAGGCCUGAUGCAGCGACGCCGCGUGGGGGAUGACGGCCUUCGGGUUGUAAACCUCUUUCAGCAGGGAAGAAGCGAAAGUGAUGGUACCUGCAGAAGAAGCACCGGCUACCUACGU